AGAACGAACGCUGGCGGCAUGCCUAAUACAUGCAAGUCGAACGAACUCUUCGGAGUUAGUGGCGCACGGGUGCGUAACGCGUGGGAAUCUGCCCUUGGGUUCGGAAUAACAGUUAGAAAUGACUGCUAAUACCGGAUGAUGACGUAAGUCCAAAGAUUUAUCGCCCAGGGAUGAGCCCGCGUAGGAUUAGCUAGUUGGUGGGGUAAAGCCUA
RNAcentral lists this ribosomal RNA (212 nucleotides) under uncultured soil bacterium. RNAcentral's name for it is "partial 16S ribosomal RNA". It matches the Rfam family "Bacterial small subunit ribosomal RNA", at positions 26 to 267 of the family's 1533-position model. The record is from RNAcentral.